GUGGUGCCGCGCGGCGAGCGGCGGCAGGAGCGGCCGCGACUCCAUCCGGGUCUCGGCGCGGUUGCGGGUCACCCUGCGGCAGGUAACGGGCGCGGCCCUGGCUCCGCGCGGGCGGGCGGUGAGCUGCGGGCAGCCCGGGCUCGGACACGGCGGGAGGAGGAAGAGAAGGAGGGAACUGGACCUCAUCCCGCUGCGGGCCCGCCCCGACCCCUCUGCUCGCCGCGCGGCCCCGAGAACUAACUUGAAGGUCCGGAAGUGCCGCCCCCGAGCGCUCCUGAUUGGCGGCCCGGCCGCGCCGCCCGCCGGGGAUAGGCUGCGGAUGCCGUCAGCGCCGGGGUACGUCACUUCCGCUAGCAAGUGUGUGGGCCGCGGAGACCUUGGCCUCGGGGGGGCCCGGGCCGUGCGGGGAGCGGGCGGUCGGGGCCCGGCGCGCUCAGGGGAGGCGGCUCAGGGCUGCAGUGCGCCGCGGGCAACGUUCCUCAAGCGGCGGGAAGGGGCGCGUGGCCAUACGGCAGCCACAUGGCGGCGGAACUCCUCGGUCGGGUCAGGGCGGAACGGCGGCCGACCCCGCGCUGGUAGUGGGCUUACAGAGCCUAACCGCGCCGCGGGCCGGGGGGAGACGCGGCACCCUGCCCGGCCAGUGGGCCUCACUGCUGGGUUGGGAGUGGGGACUCAGCCCGGUGCGGGAGGUUACGUUCAGCCCCGUUGAUAGAUCUGCCUUCUGCACAUCUUUUGUGCCUCUCUUUAAUCGCACUGUUAACGGGCAGCUGUCUGCAUAACAAAAGCAGUAGUGGAGAAACUGCCUCACUUCAAACACACACAGUGGUCCUGCUGAAUGGUACCUGACAGCGUGGGGUCAAUGCCAGUGCAUAUCUGAACCUGGGAAAAUGGGUCUGUCAGAACCCAUAAUGUUUCUUAGCAAUAUUUAACGAGUAGGGUGUCCAUCCCACUCUCCAAGUAGGUGAGCAGCUCCCAGGGCCCCAUGCCCCAUGUGGCACUGCUGUGGGACAGCCGCAGCUCCCUGGGCUCAUUGCAGCUGCCGCUCCAACCCCUGCAGCCUUUCUCCAGUACUCAGCUUUCAAGAGGAGGUUUAAUAACUUUUUUUUGGCCCUAUAGUAGCUGUCUUCGUGAAAAGGACCUUAUUAAUUAGCGGUAUUGGGGUUGAUAUUUUUAUAAAUCUGUUCACCAAAUAUCUUAAAAUGCAAAAGUGAUGCAUAUGGUCAUACUAGGAAUUUGCUUUACAUAAGAUCAGAGACUUGGCAGAAGGAAACAGACACAUCAUCCCAUUACUUUGUCUAUUACUACUACCAAGCAGUAUCCUUAUUUUCACUUUCCUUUGGAUAAAUGCCUUCUGUAUUUUCCUCUGUUGGCAGUGGAAGCAUCAUUUCAUUUGCAGUUAAAAGGCUCCCGUGAUCUAUAGGAAGCAACAGAUGUCAAAUUGUUUUGUCAGUUAAUAACACAACACUGCAUUGCUGGAAAUGUUCUGAUGUGUACUAACUUGAAUGUUUGCUGAAUUGGUGUAAUUAUUAGUUAUGUUAACGUGCAACCUUUAUGCAAAACAAGCUGCCUGUAACAUGCUGUUAAUAGAUGAGAGGGCUCUCUUAAUUGCUGUUCCGUGGAGAAAAACAACCAUUACUAAAUGUUUUGGUAAGUUCAAAUGUUGCCAAUAAGUAUCAGUCAGUUUUCGUCUUCAAAAAACAAUCCUAUAUUUCUUCCACUUUUCCUUUCAGUUAUCUGCAUUUUGAUAAACUGACUGAGGUUGCUGGAACAAAAGCAUUGCCUGCUUACUAAUGUGGCAUGUCCUAAGAGGCACUGAUCUGGUGAAUAAAUACAUGUGCGUUUAUUGGUAAAUAAAAUGCACAUUCCUGUUUGAAGCAGGAUCAGACAACUGGAGUGAUGGUUUCUAUUGCCAUAUGGUUCUCAAUGCGUUUCGCAUUUGGAGCCGUAGCUAAACUGCAGUAUGCUCAUAUCCAUGUUUCUGCUGCCAGCGUACUGAUUGACAAACGUAGUAUUCAAAAGGAUUUGUGAAAAUAAGACAUCACAGUGCAGUUGUUUCCCUUACUCCACUGCGUUACCUCAUGUUGCUCAGUCUCCUGCCAGAUCUGUACCCUACUGUAUGCUACAUCCUUAGUGUACGCUGAAUCUGAAAGAUGAAAACCUGAUUUUUCUGUCAUGUCACAGAAUCUUGCAUUCACAUCUGCAGAAGAUGAGUUCAGACUGCACAUUACACAGUUUUCUGUUGCAUUUUCAGUAUACUCCCAACAUCAUUUACACAGAUCUGUGAGUCUUUGCGUGCAGGUAUACGCACCCAUAAAGUAUUUGUAAAAGCUUAGAAGCCUCAGGAGACUUUUCUUUCCAUUCUGCUUUGUUAAGUGAAAUAGUGCAGGUGUUUUGCUCUGUUGUAGUCAUGCAGUAGGAAAUAAGAAACCCUGGCUUCUGCUCUUCAGCACUUAAUUAUGCACUGAUUUUGACACUCUGCAUGGUCGUCUUCUUUUUCCUCCUUUUUUUUGGUUUCUAUCAAACACCAAACAGUUUAAAAAACAACACCAGGAAUCUCACUGGAGCAGUGUUGGGUUUAUGGGCAUAACAAGAGGCAAUUUCUAAACGAUAAGUAACUGAAAUGCAUCAAUAGGGCUUAGUUUUGAAUAGCAGAGAAGGGGUUAAAUUUAGAAUAGAAUACGUAGCAUUCAUCUGUGUAGUUUGCUUUGAGAACUAAAGAAUGAAUGCUCACUUAGAUGCAGAUAGUUUAAUAUUAACGUGAAAACUGAGUACAUGCAGAGGAAGUUGCUCCAAUUUGCAUUCCUGUCAUUCUUUGCUCACGUUCAAAAUUAUUAAUCAUGAUCACAUACUUUACUUUUCUGCAGGAGAUGUGCUUCAUUCCAUGCAUGAGUGGGCAGUAGUGACUCCUAAUUUCUUUCAAGCCGUGUUUCUGGAGAUUUAUAUUCCUUCUGUAACGACGUGGUCAGAAAAAUAAAUGAAAAUCAAACAUAAUAACUGCAAAUGGAACAAACCAGUAAUAUUUCACGUUAUAAUUAGUCGAAACCAGGCUGCUUUAUCUUAAAGCAAUUACAUGUAAGUGGGAUGUAGGUUUUUGGAAAAAGCUUGGCAUUUCUGGCAGAGACACGAGAUAAAGGCAUCGCUGAUGACACUCAGAGGUAUUAAUGUAGUGGACACUCAGCCCUGCCAGCUGCAUGCAUUUCGGUGCUGCUCAUAUUUGGAGUUAAAGCCUAUCUGUGAUUUGUAUGGCGCGCACUUUUACACUUACUCCAAUGUAUUGCUGCUAAAUUGACUACAGUGUCCAAAUAAAUACUAAAAAUUAGAUACAUACAUACCAAAUAAAUACUAAUAAUACUAAGUUUUAAGGUUUUGGGCUUAAGCAGAUGACUCUUAGAAAGGCUUCUGGCCUUCAUCACCACAUCUUAUGUUCUAAUUAAAGCAUGUUUGCUUUCUUGCAUGGGGCCUAUUUUCACUGUAGGUGAAUUUGUUUGGCACAAAGGAAAAAAAGAAACUCAUCUGGUUUAGUCCUAACCAUCACACACGAUUUUUGUUUGUUUUAACCUUAAAGCUUCAUCUUUUCUGCUGUACUUAAUUUUAUCCACUGAGAUUUUUAAAGUUGAAUUUAAACAUGAGAGUGAAAUAGUCUUUGGUAACAAGCUGUUUACAAAUGGUUGCCAAAUGGUCUUUUUGUUGAAGGAUGUACUGCAGCAUUAUAUACCUCAAAUUGAUGCAUCUGUUUAUCUCCACACCACGUAACAACAGAUGUCAGUAAAGCACAGUUAGGAUAAGAAGUGUUGCUUCUACAAACACCCUUUCAGCUUCGGGUUAUUAAUUCUGUGCUGCAAAAUUGACAAAAUCAAGUGGGAGGAUAAAACAUCCAUCUUUUAGGGUCACACUGAAACAAAAUGGGACUUUGAUUACUUUCACAAAGUCACAUUUUGUCCCUUCCACGCUGUAAGGGUGGCUUGAGCUAUUUUUCCUUCUGUUUCACAGGUUACAGACUGAUUAAGAAUGCUGGUGGUGUACUGUGUGCUACUAAAUGAGAACGUGUAAACGCCAGCAGUUUUUUUCCCUAUACAGUUUAGAACUGUUUCAGAGGUUUCAAAUACAUACAGUAGCUCAGGAAACUCAUGGGAAGCACUCUUCAGAAAGGCAGCGCCUCUUUAGGUUCUACUUUGUCACUUCUCUUGGAUGCUCAGUAGGAAUGAGGCUCCAUCAAGAUGAGCACAGUAUUAAAGGAAAGUACAAUCCAAAACUGAAUUGAGAAUAGAAAGAGUUCUUAACUCACACUGACUAAAGCUUUUGUUUCAGUAAUUACGUGAUCUUAGACUCUUCUGGAAGGAGUGAUGAGAUAUGGACGUAGUGUGUGACAGCAGUAUAGGGGCAGCCGAGGGGAAGCAACGUGGAGGAUAAUUAAGUUUGCAUCAAUCACAGUGUUGUGCCUGCAAUCCCCCAACACCCCCAGUCAAAAAAAAAAGCAAGUUUGCAGGUCUGCACGUACUCACUGUGGAAGGUGGGUGUGUGGGGUCUUCACAGGGGGCUGGAGGAGGUGGCAGAAAUUCCCUCACCAAAAGUGGCAGUGGGAGUCCAAGUACAGCUCCAGUGCAGGUGACGCUACUGAAAUUCUGGGGCAGAAGCAUCAGAAGUUGGUGUUAGUGCUUGCAAUGUGAAUGCUAGAGCUCCACCGUGUGGUUACAGCUGUGCACUGUGCACAGGCUGGGCCCUCAGCCCCGGGCUGCAGUGGCCAGAUCAAUGGAGGAAAUAUUGGCAGUGAACUCGGGCAGCUUCAUUCGAUGCUCCACGAUAGCUGCACAAUUACAGUGCCAUUUGCUUCACUUCUACUGCUUUGCAGAUUUUUAAAUACAGGCAAUGUGGUGACUGGAAAAAACUACUUUGAACACAGCAGUUGAUAAGGAAAACAAAUGCAUAUUUCUUAAAACACAAAAAAUCAUGAAGUCUGUACUGCUAAAGCACUGAGCGUGCUGGUGGUGGCACAAACAGCUGUGCUGUACUCAGGCAGGAUAUCACCAGCAUGGUGACUUCGGUGCAAGGAUGUAUGCCAUAGCAGAUUCACACACAGCUGAGAAGAUACCAAAUGAGGGAGGCUGUGCCAGGAGUAUAAUUUAUCAGGCAUGCGGUACAUCAAGCUUCUCUGCCCAGGUGUGCCAGGAAUGCGUAAUGUGUAACAUCAGGGAAGCCUGGCAGAGCUCAUUCCUUGAAAGGACAAUGCAACUUAGGUGAGACUGUUUUUAGAAGCUGUUAGAAAUAACCAUUACCUGCAGAACUGGUGUGAAGCACAGCACUGCUGGGCUAGGCUUUGUAUGAAUGUCACACAACGCCUUCAAGAGACAGCUUGGGCUAGGAUUUUUGAUUCUUUUACUUCUAUACCUUUCUAUUAUUAAACAGAAUAAUAAAAAAGAUAGUAAGUACCUACCAGAGUAAUGUACCAUCAAUAAAACUGCUUUUCUUCUGUAGCUAAAAAGCAGGAUACGUGAUGAUCUCUCCCAAGGUGUAUUUGUUGCAGAAUGAGGUUUUCCUGGUGCCCUGUGUGCACUUCACCAUCGAUCUCAAGCCAGACUGUUGCAUAGAACCACAAGGUAACAAUUGGAUGUCAUUCAAAAUAUUUUUUCAAGGACAUUUUUGACCUUAAGUAAGAGAGAGCCCUUCCAGACCUGUAAUAGAUGAAAGGCUCAUGUUUCUGGAAACCAAAAGCAGACAAAUGCUUCAGGAGCUGCACGUACCUAACAGGAAAGUCUCACGGUGGCAGUAGAAAAUAGGUUAGAAUUUCCUGUAACAGAACUUAAUUGAGAAGUCCUCCUGUCAGUAGCAAUAAUAACAUUAAAAGCUGUUUAGGCUUUUAGUUCACGCCAUCUAGGGGUGGCAAAAUGCUACAGAUUAGAAUCUGUUCUGUAAUCUUAGCGUCCUCCUGGGUUCAUUUUAAAACAGGAAACUCAAAAGUAUCCUAUGUAUUUUAUAAGUUUUACAUUCUUUUAAGUACCUCUUUUUUUUUGUACAGUAACAUCUAUUUAGUUUUUCCAAAGCACUUAAAACAUUUUCAGCACAUUGGAGAAGCAGCAGCUUCAUCUUAAAGAUCGACCUGAAUUGAAAUGUCUUGGACUUCAUGGAUAAAUGACAAACUGAAAACAGCAAGCCAGCGCUCUCUGUAGCAAGGCUGGCUGGGCAGAGGCUCAGCAGUGCCUCUCCCAUGGAGGAAUGGGCUCCUUGCAUGAACUCUGCUCAGCUGGGGAAGGUUGGCAUGUAGGAAUAAGGAACUGUGAAAGGACUGUCAGCAUCCUUACCAAAUAUUUGCUUGACAGCAGGAUGGCUAACUGAGCUAAUUCAAAGGAUGCGAUACGUGCCAGUGCUUCCCUGUCAUUUGCCUUUGUCCCAGUGCUACUGUUGUAAUUUAUUUGUGUUUUGUAGGACCAACUGCUUAUGUCCAUCUGUGCAUGCUAAAGCACACAUUCUGAUCUGUGAGUGGUUACAAGCAAGACUUUAAGUGUGAUUCACCAAAAUUUGUCAUCAAUAUUUGUACAAAGGAUUCUGGAGUAAAGCUCUGAGGGGGCUGGAGAGUACUUCUAUUUUUUUCUCUGUUCAAGGAAUAACGUCAUCCCUUUGUAUAUUAAUGCAUUGGAUCACGCGUUGUGUUUUUUGGCAAGGACAUUAACAUGCAUUAGGAGCUCUUGUUCUAUCAAGGCUUUGUUUGAUGACUGGUCUGAAAACCUCAGCUCAGAAUUGGGAUGAAGUAUGAGUACAACGUGUAUUUAACGUUUGAAAAUCUGUGCAUUUCCGUAAACACUUUCAGCUAUCUUAUAAAUUACAUUGAUAAAAUGAUGAGUUUUCCUCUUCAGCUCUGUUCUCAAGACGUCCUUGCUAAGAAGGGGACUGUAAGUCACAUCAGUCUGGCAAGUAUUUUGAUUUCAAUAUUGUUAGACUUUUUAGCUUGAGGUCAUGUUGAGCUCUGGUAACAUAGAAAUCAGCUUUAAAGCUCUAUCAGGAGCAGUCAGAGGAGCCCAGUUGUUUCUGAUCUAAAGGCAAUGUAUAUUUUAAGUGGCCUUUUGGUAAGGCAGUUUAACAAUUAAUGUCGUAUUAUAAGACCUUAAUAAGUUUAUUUUUAAUAAUGUUUUUAAAAUAGUGAUUAAGUAGAAUAAAAAACAGUGAUUUCUUAAGAAUUAUAAAUAUUAGGGUCUUAUACUGAUCCAUGUAAAUCAGCUGCAUGGUUAUGGUCCUAGAUUUUAUUACUAUUAACUUCUGAAGAAAUGCAGAUCUGCAUAUGAUGUUUCUCAUGGACAUUUUCUUACAAUUUCAGAUAAGAGAUGACAUCUGUGGAACGCUAAUAGUAUUUUUCCUGUAACAGACAAGUUUAAUGACUACAGUUGCUAUGACUGCUGCAGCUUGCUAACUGUCUAAAGGUUAAAUACAUUAAGACCCAAACAGUUGGUAAACUUUUGAAACGAAGGAAUCUUAUCCUUACAGUAACAUCAUUGCAUGAGUGGAGAGAGAUGGGAAUGUUUUUUUCCUGUGACCAGCAUAGCACACUGUAAGUGCCUGCAGUUAGCUUAAGCUGUCUUUAUUAAAGCACCAUUCUUUGGACAUCACCUCUGAAGAUGCCUGCACUGUGGGAUGAGGUAGUAGGUUGUAUAGUUUUAGGGUCAUACCCGCAACUGGGAGAUAACUAUACAAUCUACUGUCUUUCCUAAAGCAGCAGAAAAUCAACAACGGAGACCGUUCAGUUUUAAGCACAGUGUCAGAUUGUCCCAAACUUCUGUACUCGGAGUGUUUAUUAUAGCAGGCAAAUAUUUCUGCAACGCCUACAGGUAAUUACUUCUGGAUUUUUUCUAAUUCUCUACAUUAAUUUAUCUUCUCUAAGGAUAACACGUAAGAACAGAUUGAUUCCUUUAAGGUGGGGUAAUCGAAUACAAACGGUUGAUGUUCUAAUAAGUUGUGUUAACACUGCUAACUGAAGCAUCAAAUAUUAAUACUCGAGAAUGAGACUGUGGUUAGCUACUUCAGCAAAGAGCUUAAGUACAUGCUUCUCUGUCAGAGUGAGGUAGUAGAUUGUAUAGUUGUAGGGUAGUUAUUUUACCCUGUUCAGGAGAUAACUAUACAAUCUAUUGCCUUCCCUGAGGAGUAAAACAAACUGCGGUCCUUUGCUGUUGUUUGUUUCCACAUUGAGUAAAAGUUUACUUGUCAGAUAAGUUUAGGGUUGGAGAGUGUCACAUUAAUCCUGUAAAUUCUGUCCUUAAUUAACGAUCAGUUUGAAUGGUGCAAAUCCCAAACCUUAUGGAACUAAUACAACUUUUCUUUCAAGGUGAGUGGCACAGCACUGUCUGGACAUCAACAAUGCAUCUCUUAUAGAUACAGAACUGAAUACACCAUAGACUGGAAAUCAUUCUAAAACGAUUUGGUUUUGAACCUAAAAGUAGUCUUGGCUCAAGCUUAUACAUGGUGACAUAAACUGUUUUAAUUUCUGUAAUACAUUAACAUUCCAUCACUGUUCUGUAGAAGCUGGGAGACUUACAGUCAUACUUCAUUAAUACGCCUGCUUAUUUUUCUCUAGCUCUUCUAGCCAGAGAGACUUAAACAAUGUAAUACAAAGAUUAAAGUGUUGAAUGGCCAAAAUUGAUCCCUUCAACUGUUUAGGAGAAUGUAAAGCUAUGAAAUUUGAGUGCUCAAGAUCCAGAAUUGUAACUUCUGUCUGAAGAGGUUACUGAUUUUAUAAGAAGGCAUUUAAAGAUUGUGUUCUUUAUACCCCAUUAGCGCUAGGUGUACCCCCAUCUAGCUGCUUCUGCCCUAGGGUGACCACCUAACAUCUUCCUAUAACAACAAGGAACAAAAAGCAUGAAAACAUUCUGAUGACUGAAAGUUUAGCGUAGUAAGAGUGAAAAUGGAGCCAUUAAUGAGUACUUAAGCCAGGAGUGUUACUGGUUAACCACUUAUUAAACAGUGCUAACUGUAAACUUCUAGUACAUGCCCUGGCCUAAAAAUGCAGAAGACCAAAAGCAGCUGGUAAGCUAAGCUGGCUUCACAGAGCAGCUGCUAAGCAAGAAGAACUGCAGAAAGGAAGCAUUGGGCUCCUAGGAAGAGGUAGUGGGUUGCAUAGUUUUAGGGCAGGGAUUUUGCUCACAAGGAGGUAACUAUACAACCUGCUGCCUUUCUUAGGGCUUUAUUAUAACACCAGGACCAUUUUGGCUCCAUCCUAACCUCUGCAGCUUUGGUAUGUGAAGAGAAGUGAAGCUGUUUCUAAGCAUAUUGAGGUUUAAUGAAACUGGUGUCUCAGCAAAUUUGGUACAGACUUGAGCAUAGUACUAUUAACUGGAAUUUGGUAUUGUGAAAUGCUGCAUUUCAGGGCACACAUGUCAUUUUGUUGACAUUGGUGUUGUGAUAACUUACAAAGAUACUGAAGAAAAAUUCCAAGAGUAAGAUCAGAUUCCCUACAAUUAGGAUGGAGGUGUUACAUACUUCUUAACGUUCAGUUAAGUACUAAUGCUACAUACUUACAAACAGGCGGCUAUAAUGCACCUUCCUUUGGCUUUGUGAAGUUUCCAAGGAUCAACUUAAAACUCACCUGAAAGCUGGUGGGUUCCUGCAGGCAGGAAUAGGUUCUCCCAAAAAGUCAUGCUCUGUCAUGGAAUACUUGCAGUCCUACAGGAGCAUUUUCAAAGUGAAUGACUGCACAUCUGCUGUGGGGUUGUAUGUUGAGAAGUAGAUAAUCCUUUCAUGUAAUUACAGUGCAGUACCACCAUUGUUCUGGUAGGGCUUCAUCCAGAUGUGCUCUGCUGUGGGAUACAGAGACCCUUAACUGCUGAUCAACUUGGAAGAUUAAUGCUUUAUGCUUACAGCAGCCAGUUUUUAGAGUUCUGGCAAGACAGAAUCCUAGAUAUUAUAAACAUACUUAGUAUGUUAAUGGAAAUUGUCUAUUCAUUGAAGUGUACACACUUGAUUUACUCAAUAAAAGAAUUUUAUGCAACUCCUAUGGUGAAUUGACUUUACUUUCUACAAAAUAAGGAAGUGAAUUUUACAGGAAAACACCGCUCAGACUACUGAAGUGAAAUCAAGACCAUAUUAAAAGAAGUUUUAACAGUAAUUAGUGUAAAAAAUCCCACUGUAAAUUGUGAUUUUUGAUAUGAGACAUCACUGAUGGGAGACGAGGGGAAUCCUUACUUACAACUUUACUGUUGAAUGCAUAGGAAUUCUGCUUACUCCAGAGCUGUUAUCUGAGCAUAAGUUCUAAUUGUUGCUCACGAACGUAGACUUUUGAGAAGGUGAGCUCUUCUCUUGACUACACCUUGAUUUUUGCAUACAGUUGGUAAGGCAUCAGCAGGUACUAUUUAGGGAGGGAAAUGGAUACCCUGAAGUUUCAGUUUUUGCAGUAUUAAAACGCCUUAAAAGCUUCAGCACACUGAACACUGAUCUGUGUAUAAGGUGUAUGCUUAUGAAAGACUUAAAUAAUCAAAUCAGUGCUAGCAACUGCAACACUGCAUGCUAUGUUAUUAAAGCCUGUGUUAGGGAAGAACUAUAACUAGAUGAAAACCAGCAGCUACAUAGGCCUGUUAAUGUUCAGUUUGGUAUAAUAUGCAAGUUUUAGGCUUGAUGUGCACAUAUCUGUCCUGUGAAUAUAACAUUUCAUGUUACUGUCAGUGCUGCUGGCUCUCUUUUAACAGUAUACGUUUGAAGACAAAAAGUACACGUAGCUUUUAAUUUAUUAGUUUGACUGAAGUUGUAAACAUCUCAACAUUGAAAAAAGGCACCUGAUCAGAAAAUGUUAAAAACAGAACCCCUCUUCAUGGACUCCCAAGUGCUAUUUAGGUAAAAGUACCUGAAUUUUGGGAUUAGUAUCUCCAUAUGCUUUCAGUGUACUGUAAGCAGAUGGUGGAAAGAGAUACUGCCAUGUCAUAUACGGUCCCUCUUAUAUAACAUAAGCAGCCUUAAGGAAGGCAGCUAAUACUCAGUUCAUCAUUAUUCUUUUAAAACAGUUCAUUAGUUCUUGAUUUAAGGAUGCUAACCCCUGCCCCUCAUCUGCUCAGUAGGGGCUGUCUCACCCACGGCAGGUGCAGGCAUUUCCUCCAUUGUAAUUCGAAGCAGCUUGACUAAGUGACAAGGCUUGAACUAGAAAGGAAUUACGCUGUGGUUCAGCUCUCAUGUAACAAUCAGAUUAUUUCUUACCUUGAUGAUCUGCAGGUUCCACCCUGUAAAUGGUAUCUGCUUAGCAGAGCACAUGAUUUGUUUGCCUUUUUCCACAUGGAUAUCCAGUGAGGGGUCCAAGGAUGAGGUGGUAGUGCAGAAAGAAUCCUUCCGCUCAAGAAACAGUAGCUAAAGAAUGCAUAGCAAACAGCAGAAAAGUCUGCAGUAACAGUAGAGACAUGUUUACCACCCAUACCGAAGCAGUUUUGUCAUGGUGGUCUUGGAAACAUUCCAGUAGAGCUCUGAAAAUAGAAUAUAGCUGCUGUGGUGAUCCACAUCCCAGGAGAAUUGUUUGUGUUCCCUGCCUCUCCAUGCAGGAAGGUGAGCUUGGACAUCUUCCUGGUAGAAUGCAACCCGACACCUGCUGAGAUUUUCUAUACCAGAAAACAUGACUAGCAAACACUUUCAUUUCUAGAGAGACUUUGGGCACUUAGUGCCACAUUCACAGCCUAUGUACUUAAUGCAUUAAGAGUUACAGUUGCUGUGCUGCCUUACAGACGUAGGAUUGGGGCAGACACCAUAUUAAAAUAGUGUUGCCACAAGAAUUACUGAGAUUUCUGCAUAGCUUUUAGAUAACAAAGCUCCUAAGGAGCAUAUUCCACCAUACGAUAGUCUUACUAUAGCUUGAAAGGUGUUCUCUGCUAGUUUGUGUGGCUGGCAAAGGUUUACAUACUUAACCAUUGGUUUUCCUUUGUGCUUCUGUAUUUGACCUCCUUCCAACCAGAGGGAACAGAUGCAAGGAAAAACCUUUACAGAGAGAUGUUAGCAACUUGCACUUAGAACUACCAUAUCAUUUAUAUUUAGAUUCCUGGACUGCUUGAUCCAGUCAUUUGCAAUGCCAUGUCAUCCUUACACCAAAAAGCAGCUCUUGCUGCCUUUGGGCAAGCAGCAGGCUGGACUCAGUAAUAGGUGCAUACAGGUAGUCCAUCAUCUCUUGGAUUUACCAAGCAGUCUGUGUAAAAUACCUGAGAUAUACAUAUAUAUCAGUGUAUUUCAGACAUCCUCUUUUUUUUUCCCAUAUAUAUGUAUGGAUAUAUAUCCCUCAUAUAUAUAUAUAUAUAUAUAUAUAUAUAUAUAUAUAUGUCUGAAAUACACUGAUUGAAACAGACAAGUAUGCCAAGUUCAACUGAAUAUUAGUGGGUUCAGCUGGAACUCCCAAACCAUGUCACUCAGCUCCAGAAGCAUCAGUGCCAGGUGUGGCUUUCAGACCUCUGCUAAGGUUUAAGGGCCCCAGCAGACGAUACAGCUGGAUUCAGUCCAGAAAGCAGAUUUCAUUUAACAAUCUGUUGUGUAUUUUAUGAAGUCAUCUGUGAAGACGAGUUGUGACAGGAACUACUGGAAGCAUCAGAUGGCAGUGCAUGUUUUGUUGCAAUACAAUAAAUGAGAUUUGUUCUUACUGCAUGUACAGUGUUACUGGAAUUUUGUUUUUUGACAGUUAAACCCGCAACAUGAAGAGAGCUCAUACACAUCAGAAAUAAGAUGCUGCUAUUUUGAAGAUUACUGAAAUACAAAGUUGUUACAAGUCAUACUGCUUCUAAGGAUUGUAUUUUGAGGAAUCAAAAUGGUCCUAUCUGAUAUAGAACUUAACUGAAAAAAAAAAAUACUGCUUCUGGCACUGAAACCUUUAUAUAUAAUUGAGCUGAUUAUUUAAACAAUAAAACCAGAGCAGAGAAGGAUCAAAGUUGCAAUUGCAAAUCCCAGUUCUAUCAAGGGAGUUCACAUCGCCUUACACUUAAUGUAACGCAAUGGAAAGCACAGCAGCAGCACCACAGUAGCAAAGUCCUAGGCUGUAACAACUAAGCACAUGACCAAAUGUCACAGCUGUAGACACAGAAACAAAGAAAAGACUCUGCUUACCUACAGAAAGCCUGAGGUAGACAGGAACCUCCAGCAAGAUACCCUUGCCUCCACUGCCAAGCCUUAAAUGACCUCCGGGAAGAGGUGGAUCCUGGCUCCAUCCCUUCCAGUCACUCAGGUGCACUGCAUUGCAUUGCAUACACCUGAGCUUCCCUGGGUUGGUCCUGCCUUCCCACCAGGUGCUCAAUCACUGGUUCAGGCUGUGACAGCAUUUCUGCUACACUUACCUUUUUGCAUUGCCUUAAGAAUUUAUUACUCCCUUCAGUAGAGUACCUUUGGAGAUGUAUGUCAUCAGUAGGUGAAAGAGCACUGCGUUGAUCCCAGCAGCCUGCAAUGCUGUAACACACGAAGCCUGAUGCACAACUGGAACCUUCUGUGGCUCUUGCAGAGCUGCCUAAAAUGAGGAAGGAUGAGUGCAGAGAAGCAGAGGGAUGAAGAAGAAAGAGACGUAGUAUGAACUUCCCAGUAAAAAGAAGUUUCAAAACAAUGUCAAAUAGUACUUUUUCGACUGACUUUCUUCUCAUUUAAGCUGUGAUUGAUGCUUCUAAGACCUGGUCCAUAAAACUGAAGUGCACCUUACACCAAAAUAAGUACAAAGACUUUCCCUGAUACAUUACCUUUUAUUUUUCUUUUUAAUAAAAAGGAUGUGAAGCUGGUUUUAGGGGUUGAUGUAAUGCCACCCUGGUUAUUACUUCAUCAGCUGGCAUAUGCUACCUAAAUUGCUGUAUAAUUUAUGCAGCAAUGAAACAGGUGAUGCACAGCUGCUGAAGCCAGUGCACAGAAAGAUAGCACAGGACAGUCUUCCCUCAGUUCAUGUUUUGAACAAAUGCACUAUCCCUCCAUUUCCCUUUGCUGAGUCAAGUUAAAAGCAGCUACUGUGGAGAGUAUAGGAGAUCCCGCAGUUAAUGCUACCACUGCAAAGCAAACAAGCAAAGUCAACAUGUCUGAGUAGUCUCUUUCUGUUGCAGUGGUGGUGGCAGUGAUCAGAACAGUAUUUCUGCUGUUCAGACCAUCUCCACUUCAGCACUGAUGGUGCAGUAACACUGGAGAUGCCGUUCUGAUACAAUAGUUUUGCACCAAUUGGUGUAUUCUACUGCUGAUACUUUCAAUAAGUGAAAUAGGAAGACAGAACUUUAUCAGAGCAAUGGCAAAACAAAACACUAAGGUAAGGUAAUUAAAACAGUCGGAGCGCUAGACAUGAGAAUAAGUAAUGAAUAAAUAAAUACAGCAUGAAAUAACUAGAGUAGAUGAGUAUCUGAAGGGUGCAAAAGCAAGGAACACAUUAAUAGCAUAGUUAGGAUGCUAUUACAAAAGUUCCAUCUAAACUUUGGCUACAGACGUUUCAGCACUGAAGUGCAUAAAGCUCUGUGCUUUGCAUGGAUGAACUGCCAGCAGCGAGCUUUGGAAGGCUGUCCUUUGACAGGAGCAGACAUCUGAUUCCUGAUUCAGCUGAAGUCCAUGGAAAUCCUUAACCUGUGAGCAGGAUUUCACACUGAGCACAUUUGUACAAGUUACUGAAAUACAGUACCCAACUAACUCAUUAUCAUGUAAAUCAGCAUGGAUAAUGAUGAAGUAAGAGAUGAUUAAUAAGCAUUGGCACAUUUUUUUAACAUUACUCACAGGUAGGAAAGCUUUGUUGUUUACUGAGUCAGUAGUUGAGCUGCAGGAAAGCAGCUGUGUGGGAAACGCAAUGAGCUUCAGUUCUGCACUGUAACUCCUGCUGGACUUCGUCCCCACCGCGUUUCCAUGACUCAGCGCACUCUGUGCUGUUCCAGAAAUCCUAAAGCACAGCCAAGAAGUUCCUUCCAAAGAUUACCUUGUUAAAGUGAAAAUACCCGUCGUAUCACCUGCCCUUCAGGUCUCAACUGACUGCAGGUUGUUGUAUUGCAGGUCAGGGCAACACAGGAGUUUUCCAGUCGACUCUUAGCAUACAGAAACCAAAAUCGCUUCAUCAGACUUCCCCUCUGCCUCUUCUGUGGGUUCUGCAGCAGCAAUGUGGUCCCAUGACAUCCAGAGUCGAUUUCUGGACCUACGUGAAGCACAACUAUACAUAAAGUGUUCUACCUUUCUCUGUCAGUUUGUUUCACUGCUGACUCACAGAAGGACAUCCCCGGCGUUGUAAGACUGCAUUUGUAGCCACCAUGACAGCAGUCAAAUCUGAGCUGCUCUUGGGUAGUAUGUUGUAGUUGUAGGGUGCCUAUUCUAAAUGCCAGCAUUCAGGAAGUAGUUUCCAAAAGUAAAAAGAAGUCUGAAGUGCUGAUCAGCAAAUUUGAUACUGAGCAGUUUCCCUCACGGACACCAGUAGCGGGUCAAUCACUGUGUGCUCCCUCCACAAUCCAAAGUUUGUUCCACCAAAUUCAUCAACAGAAAAUAAUCAAAAGCUGCUCUUAGGUUUGGCACAGGUUCUUUGAUGGAUGACUACUAGACCUCUCCUUUGCAGAGAGCCCUCAGUAGAAGCCAGAUGUGAAUUGCCAUAAAAACUCCACAAUAAUAUAAAAAAAAUAUAUAAAAAAUUCUCCACAAUCUCAGAACUGUUUAAAGAUGUGGAGCACAGUAUGUCUGAGCCCUUUAGAUGCCAUAUUACUAAGCAAUAUUAAAUGUCUAUGUGUGUAAUAGUUUCCCUCUCACGGUAUUGCAUUAAGGAUGAUCAGCAAUUCAGACCUUGCUGUAGGUUCAAGAAACACAUCUGCAACAUUCAUCAUAGGUAAUAUUGUUGGUGUGCAGAUAAGCAGCAGAAUAUUUUACCCAACUGUUCGUGAUCAGGGAAGAUGGGAUAAAGACUAAAAAUAAUGCCAUUUCUCCACCUCCAUGGCUGACCCGAUGAGAUGUGCUCAUGAGAUAAGGCUUUGCAUCAUCGUUUAUGUAAAUGCCGUUCGCUGCUAAGGGAGUGAUGCAGUUUGCUGCUUCAUAGAGAAGAAGUCAUCCAAGCGUAGUUCUAUUUUUAGCUCUCUAAGGACAUGGCACGCAAAUGGCAUUUUCCAGAGGUGAUUUGUUUUGUUUCCAAGUUUCUGCUUAUGGCCAAAGCUUGAAAAAGAACAGUAUGGAUUCGCAAUCUAAAUUCCUGUAGCAGCUGCACACAAAAUCUCUCAGUGUUGCAUUUCAUACCUAACCUAAAACAUACCUGUAGCUUCUGUUAAUGUUAGACUUCGUUAGCUUGGUCAAAGAUCUGUCCAUUCCAACCAAGCAUUUUGAAAACUGCUACCAUGAGACAAGCAACCAAGUGAAACACUAUUUCCUCUGCUGCCAUAUGACUCAUUGGCAUAGGGGUGCAGUCAGCUGGUGGCUGUCCUGAUGCCUUUUGGUAUUUCAGUUGAGGACAGUGGAGGUGAUUCUUCUUAUGUUUGUGUUCCUGAAAUCAAGUCUGUGGUACCACAGACGUUCAGUGAUGUGCCCAUCCCUGGAGGUGCCCAAG
Molecule: long non-coding RNA, 16450 nt
Organism: Gallus gallus (chicken)
Lineage: Eukaryota; Metazoa; Chordata; Aves; Galliformes; Phasianidae
Exons: 2
Source: RefSeq, a predicted model, not a curated record